CGACAUUCUUUUCAGUGUGCAUUACAUCAAUGUUAUGUGGAAGAAGAAGUUCAUCAAAAUAUGGGAGGUUCCACGAGCACGACUUGUGAGUCUAGGCAUGUUGCUCACCAUAUCCCAGAAAACCAUCUCCUUGGGCAUUGACCUCGAGAGCAUCCAACUGAGCACGAACCACGGGACCAAUCAUCAUCUAGGGUGUAGGGCCUUCAACUACUACAUCUUUCAUAAAGUUCUUCAUAUCUUGUCUGAAUGGAUGGUCAAGAGGGAGGAAUUGUCGAUGUUUGUUGAAUGAAGAAUACUUGCCAUCCUUUGUCAACCAAAUGAACAUCAGAGACGCCUUGCAUACUGGGCAUGGGAACUUCCUGUGAACACAACAGCCGCAGAAUAUCCCAUAUGCCGGAAAGUCAUGCAGGGAGUAGUGGUACCAAACAUGCAUUUUGAAGUUUUUCUUUGUAGCUCGGUCAUAUGUCCAUACCCCUUCCUCCCAAGCACAGACCAAAUAAUCAAUCAGAGGCUCCAUGUACACACUCAUAUUAUUCCCCGGGUGUUCAAGACCUAGAAUUAUUAAUGACAAGAAUAUGUUCUGUCAUUGAAAGAGCACGCCAGGAGGGAGAUUGAGGGGGAUAACGAACAUGGGCCAACAAGUGUAUGCGGCAGCUACCAUUUCAUAAGGAUUGAACCUAUCUGUUGCCAACGCAAUACGUACAUUACGAGCCUCUUGAGCUUUCUCACAAUGAAUCAUAUCAAACCUUGUCCAUGCUUCACCAUCGGAUGGAUGUACCAGCUUCUCAGGAUUGUAUCAACAUCCGUAUUUGUGCCAUGUCAUCUGUUUCGCGGAUUCCACAUUCAUAUAAAGUCGUUGGAACCUCGGUAUGAAUGGAAGGUAUUGUAGGAUCUUCAUGGGGAUUGCGAGCUGCCUCUUCUGACCAUCACUAGAUUCUACCUCCAGGAACCAAGAGGAAUUACACUUCACACAGUACUUUGAUACCACUUGUUCUUUCCUAAAUAAGGUGCA
This 1012-nucleotide long non-coding RNA is filed under the name Setaria viridis. RNAcentral describes it as "long non-coding RNA (SVIR_LNC009152)". The record is from RNAcentral. Lineage: Eukaryota; Viridiplantae; Streptophyta; Magnoliopsida; Poales; Poaceae.